Molecule: long non-coding RNA, 210 nt
Filed under: Lathyrus oleraceus (garden pea)
Lineage: Eukaryota; Viridiplantae; Streptophyta; Magnoliopsida; Fabales; Fabaceae
Description: Pisum sativum (pea) long non-coding RNA (PSAT_LNC016559)
Source: RNAcentral
AGGACAGGAUUGGUCGGCGGAACUACUUCAAAUGAUUGAGUCGGAGUCUCAAAGAAUUCACCAUCCAUCUCGACGUAUCUGAAGGUAUGCACACUACUGACAAUAUACUCUUCUUCCCCACACACAGUGACAAUCUUGCCCUCCGUUGGAUACCUCAGCUUUUGAUGGAGAGAUGAAGCUACAGCACCUGCCCCAUGAAUCCAAGGGCGU